GCGGCGUGCUACACUGCAAGUCGUACCCAGAUAUCAGGAAUCUUUCGAAUUCUACAAUUUCUGUCGCACCGUGUGAGUAACGCUGUGGAUGACCUCGCCUGGUAGACCGGGACAACAGCUGGAAACGGCUGCUAAUACCGGAUACGCUUAAGGGAACGCAUGUUCUUUUAAGGAAAGCAAUCGCGCUAUCAUAUGGAUCCGCGUCCCCUUAGCUAGUUGAUGGUGUAAGGGACCACCAAAGAGACCAUUGGUAACCGGCCUGAGAGGGCUACCGGCCACACUGGGACUGAGACACGGUCCAGACUCCUACGGGAGGCGGCAUUGGGGAAUCUUCCACGAUGGGCGAAAGCCUGACAGAUCAACGCCUCGUGAGGUAACAACGCCUUCUGGUUGUAAACCUCUGUCAUCAAUGAAGAACAUAUGACGGUACUUGGAGAGGAAGCCCCUGCUAACUACGUGCCACCUACCGCGGUAUAACGUAAGGCGCGAUCAUUAUCCCGAAUUACUGGCCGUAAAGGGCUCGUACGUGAUCCAUUAGUUUAUAUGUGAAAGAUCUUCGCUCAACCCCGAGAUUGGCUCUGAUUCUGCUGGACUUGACUGCAUGAAACGCGAACGCAAUUCCCAGUGUAGCGCUGAAAUGCUUACAUUGAGUUACGAACACCAGUCGCUAAUGCCGCUCUCUAGAGUGUAACUGACACUGAAGCGCACUAGCGUGGUGAACGAACACGAUUACAUACCCUGGUAGUCCACGCCGUAAACUAUCAGUGCUAUGUGUUGCUGGUAUCUACCCCCGCACUGCCGUAUUUAAGACAAUUAGCACUCCGACAGCCGACUACGGUCGCAAUACUGCAACUCAUAUGUAUUCACUUGAGCCCGCACUAGCAAUGUAGUAUCUCGUCUAAUUCGAUCCAACGCCCAGAAUCUUACGACGUCUUGACGUCCUAUCAACGACCUAUAGCUUUGGACCUUACGCUUCGCGGUAACAC
This 986-nucleotide ribosomal RNA is filed under the name uncultured bacterium. RNAcentral's name for it is "bacterial SSU rRNA". It matches the Rfam family "Bacterial small subunit ribosomal RNA", at positions 39 to 1037 of the family's 1533-position model. The record is from RNAcentral.